UCCUGCCCCAAGUUGAGGAGUUCAAGUAUCUUGGGGUGUUUUUCACGAAUCAGGGAAAGAAGGAGCAGGAGAUUGACAGGCUGUUUUGUCGGCGUCU
Molecule: long non-coding RNA, 97 nt
Organism: Melanotaenia boesemani (Boeseman's rainbowfish)
Lineage: Eukaryota; Metazoa; Chordata; Actinopteri; Atheriniformes; Melanotaeniidae
Exons: 3
Source: RefSeq, a predicted model, not a curated record